ACAGUUGCCAUGGUUCUGAUCCUGGGCUUGCACUGAUAUCGUCUUGUACCUUUCCAGGUACAACUCAUAUCAAUGUUUUUCAUAUAAUAUGAAAUACAUAAAUCGCCUUUGUGCGUAUGCAUAAAGGAUUCUAUUUACGCAUUAUUUCUUUGGGAGUUAAAAGGGCACGUUCCCUUUGAGAAGGGCAACUUGCUAGUCACACUAGAGUCAUCCUUCUAAUUGAAGUUUAUCAUCAUAUG
RNAcentral lists this long non-coding RNA (239 nucleotides) under Malus domestica (apple). RNAcentral's name for it is "long non-coding RNA (MDOM_LNC002957)". Lineage: Eukaryota; Viridiplantae; Streptophyta; Magnoliopsida; Rosales; Rosaceae. The record is from RNAcentral.